GACGAACGCUGGCGGCGUGCUUAACACAUGCAAGUCGAACGGAAAGGCCCUGCUUUUGUGGGGUGCUCGAGUGGCGAACGGGUGAGUAACACGUGAGUAACCUGCCCUUGACUUUGGGAUAACUUCAGGAAACUGGGGCUAAUACCGGAUAGGAGCUCCUGCUGCAUGGUGUGGGUUGGAAAGUUUCGGCGGUUGGGGAUGGACGCGCGGCUUAUCAGCUUGUUGGUGGGGUAGUGGCUUACCAAGGCUUUGACGGGUAGCCGGCCUGAGAGGGUGACCGGCCACAUUGGGACUGAGAUACGGCCCAGACUCCUACGGGAGGCAGCAGUGGGGAAUUGUGCACAAUGGGCGGAAGCCUGAUGCAGCAACGCCGCGUGCGGGAUGACGGCCUUCGGGUUGUAAACCGCUUUCGCCUGUGACGAAGCGUGAGUGACGGUAAUGGGUAAAGAAGCACCGGCUAACUACGUG
Molecule: ribosomal RNA, 468 nt
Filed under: uncultured bacterium
Lineage: Bacteria
Description: partial 16S ribosomal RNA
Rfam family: Bacterial small subunit ribosomal RNA
Source: RNAcentral